GGUUUUGUAGUGUAAUGGAUAGCACUCGGGAUUUUGACGGGUUGUUGCAAACAACGCAACCUGAAAAUUUCCCGCAAUCUGGGUUCGAUCCCCAGCAAGACCU
This is a non-coding RNA of Choiromyces venosus 120613-1, 103 nucleotides long. NCBI's taxonomy places the organism in Eukaryota, Fungi, Ascomycota, Pezizomycetes, Pezizales, Tuberaceae. The record is from the annotation of a GenBank genome assembly.